GAUGAAGAACGUAGCGAAAUGCGAUAAGUAAUGUGAAUUGCAGAAUUCAGUGAAUCAUCGAAUCUUUGAACGCACCUUGCGCCCUUUGGCCAUUCCGAAGGGCAUGCCUGUUUGAGUAUCAUGAACACCUCAACUCUUCAUGGUUUUCCAUGAUGAGCUUGGACUUUGGGGGUCUUGCUGGCCUGUGGGUCGGCUCCUCUCAAAUGAAUCAGCUUGCCGGUUUUUGGUGGGCAUCACAGGUGUGAUAACUAUCUACGCUUGUGGUUUUCCACCAGGGUAACCUUCAGCAGUGGAGGUUCACUGGAGCUUACAAAUGUCUCUCCUCUGUGAGGACAGCCCUUUGAAUGUUUGAUCUCAAGUCAGGUAGGACUACCCGCUGAACUUAAGCAUAUCAAUAAGCGGAGGA
This 406-nucleotide unclassified non-coding RNA is filed under the name soil metagenome. RNAcentral describes it as "partial contains 5.8S ribosomal RNA, internal transcribed spacer 2, and large subunit ribosomal RNA". The stretch from base 1 to 121 matches the Rfam family "5.8S ribosomal RNA", at positions 35 to 154 of the family's 154-position model. The record is from RNAcentral.